This 3901-nucleotide long non-coding RNA is filed under the name Canis lupus familiaris (dog). RNAcentral describes it as "lncRNA (ENSCAFG00000058383.1)". Lineage: Eukaryota; Metazoa; Chordata; Mammalia; Carnivora; Canidae. The record is from RNAcentral.
UUUUUUUUUAUUGGAGUUCAAUUUGCCAACAUAUAGCAUAACACCCAGUGCUCAUCCCAAGUGCCCCCCUCAGUGCCCAUCACCCAGUCACCCCAACCCCCCAACUCACUUCCCCUUCUACCACCCCUUGUUCAUUUCCCAGAGUUAGGUGUCUCUCUCUGUUUCUUGCCAUCCCCAAAACCACCAGAAGUUUUCCUUCAGGUUGUGACACUGCCACAAAAUCUUUUUACAAAACACACUUUAACCAGGUAAAUUUAAAAACCUAACGGGCUUUAUUCAAUAAUUCAUGAAUUGGCAGUAUCCUACCCAGUAAGUAGAAAGGAUCUCUGUAAAGCUGUACAAAAUGGAAAACAUUUAUAGACAGAAGGUGGGACAAGGAAGUUAGCAACAAAGAGUGUAUUGUUUCAGGCAAGAUCACCUUCCUUUGAAGAAUGGCAAGGGUCUAUCAGACAGAUUAUCUCACUGACUGUUGAUGAUGUAAUUCCAGUCUGGCUGGUUAAGAUUAUAUUCCCAGGGAGGCUGAAACUGCAAUUAGGUGAGGUAUUAAGUCUCAGUUUGAUGAUGUGGGCUUAGCACAAGUGAGUCUAUUUUGGGUCUGCUGUCUCUUUUUUAACACACUGAAAUCUUAGGCAGCAACCAAUUGAUUGGCAAGGUAUUAAAGGGAAGUAAACUAUUGGAAUUCCUGAACUCGUAUAAUCCCAAUACUCGUAAGAGUAUGAGGUAGCCUCAUACUCUACCUUGGAAUAAUAUGUGAUGUCAAAGUUCUCUUUUUAAGAGAUAAGAAAAUAACUUAUAAUGCUGUGAUCAUGGGAAAAAUAUGAAUUGAGAGGUACAUUUUUAAACUUUUAAAAUUAAGGAGGAUUAGAGAAAAAUGAGAACAAGCUCAUUUGCCUCAACACUAGAAUAAUAGAUUAUCCCUGGGAAAAUUUUAAGGGCUGAUUUUAAGUCUUAAAACUACUAGUGGUAAGUAUAAGUAUUUGAAACUUGUUAUCUAUUUGGAAAUGAGUCAAAUAUAAAAAAAAUCUAUGAUGAGAUAGUAGAUAAUUACAUAUCAGGUUAAGGGUAAAAUGAGAAAACUUUGGAAGAAUUUUGGAUCUCAAAAGUUAAGGCAGCCACAUCUUCCCAUGAAACAAAGUUUGAUGCUGUUGUUUAGAAACAUAACUGGUGGGCAGCCCUGUCUGAUUUUUUAAAAUCAAAAAUAUGUUUAUACAUUCUGCAGUUAGGGUAUGCUGUUUGCUGUGAUUCUGGUCAUACUCAGAGCAAAGAUUAAUGAUUUAGGAGGGGGAAAAUAUAACAACUUCACUACAAAUGGCUAAGGCUAUGUCACCACAACAAAGUAGUUGGCAAGACACAUAGGCAAUCCAAUCAUAUAAGUAUAGUUUUCCUAUUGUACAGAUGAGAAAACUGAGCCUGUAAGUCCAAUGAUCAACUCAAAAAACAUCCAAAAAGUAGUAGGCCUGGGAACUUAAACUCACAAUAAAUAGACUCCUGGAGGAAUCAGGUGGCAGUAACGUCAAGCACAAGUUGCUCAGAUUAACCAUGGAAAAAGGGGACCCCACUAAGAAAAACAAUGAGAGGAGGUACAAAAAAUUUUCUGAUUAAGGAAAAAGAAGUUGAUGGUAUAAUAAUCCUGUUGAUGGCCACAGGAUUAUUUCUCAAUAUUCUCAGUAAAUCAAGAAAGCUUAAUGGUUGAGUGUAAAAGAUUAAGAGUGAGGACACAAGACAUAUAGAAAUGGACUGGAACUGACACAUCAAAAUGUGAUGUCACAUCCCAGAGAACAGGACAGAUUGCAUAAAUUUCUAUAGGAUCCAACUAGUAUGCUUUUAUGACCUUCUAUAACUGGCAGGAUGAGAACUGAGAAUACAAGUAGUCGAGUUGCAUUCGAUGCUGGAAUUGACACACCAGAUCCACAGCAAAAUGAAACUGCAAGAGUAUUGCACUCUCAAAAUGUCAAAGUUUAGUCACUGAUCAUGAGACUCAGAGGAGAUAUGAAUUCAAAACAAUUCAAAAGUAAAUCGAUGGGGAGGGGAGGAACUUUAAAAAUAAAAAGUAAAUAUUAGGUUAUUUGGUGUAAGGAAAUGUUUAAGUUGCAACUUUAAAAAAAUUGAUGAGAAAUGGAAACACUGAAAAUACUACUGCUAUAAUUAUUAUUAUAACCGAUCUUAAGAUAUUAGAAGUAAACCACUCUAGGCAGGGAUGAGAUCCCAUUGGAAUAAUUAUGGUGAUAAAGUAAAGGUGAAGAAAUGAGGAAGUUAAGAAAAAAAAAUCAAGUGUCCAAUAAUUAAAAAUUUUGAAGGACGUUCAUAGGAGGUAAAGUAAAAAGGCAAACAAUAAACUGAAAUUAUCAAGAUGGAUGAGAGUCAUGGACAUUGGUCAAUGAAUAACACUGAGGCUAGAAAAAAGAGAGUACAAUGCAUAAAAGGUGUUCAAAAUAUAGUAUAAGGUCAUUUAUAUACAAAUUAUGUGACAAAGCAAGUCUCAAUGCAAAAUCUCUUCCUAUUCCAAUAAGUAAGCAAUAAAGGUAGAAGUUGAAUCUCCUAAAAAGGGAUAUGAUGGUAUCAGGAAAUUUUUGAUUAAGAUUAGAUUUUGAUUAUAGCAUAGCGAGAUGGAUAGCUACACUCAAGCGAAUUACAGGCGAUUUUAUGACUUUUCAGAUCCACAGAUAAUUGGACCAGGCUCUCAGAGCACAGUGAAGGCAGCUUCCAUAAACCUUUCACAUUAUCUUAUUCCUUCCUUCAUUCUAAAUAUUCCUUAAAAACACUGUACGAGGUAUAUGGUAUAUACAACAGUGAUCAAAACAGAGAUGGUUCUAGUUCUCAGUAGCCUAAGUUCUUUGCUGUAAACAUGUAAAAGUCUGGAUGAUAUUUAAUAGGAUCAAAUUUAAGGAUAAGCUAAUCAGUCUCUCAUUUAUAAAUUAAGAAACUAAGGUACAAAUAAUUAGCAUCAGAGUCACAGCUAGAAGCCAGGUGUCUGGGUUACUAGCCCAGAGCUUUUAGAUUAAAUUAUAUCAAAUCACUCUAGCAUUGCACCAAGCUUCUUCGAAGACUACGCUAAGAAAAAAGUGUUGUUUUCAUAAUUCUAAGACACCUUCUUUAUACUUACUGCUUUGCAAUUUCCUCCCAAGCUCUGCUUUUCCCUAUAUGCCAUUUCAUUUGGAAAAGGACUGAUUAGAGAUUUCCCUAUUCUCUUUUUUAAUUCUUUUCCUACAGUGAAAAAUUCACUCAAUGGAUGGUAAAAAUAGAAAAUAGAACAAGUUAAGAAUCUGACAAAUCCUGGGCAUUCUUUUAAUUCCUUCUAACAUAGUGUCUUUUGAAGAACAGGUAAUCAAUGAGAAUGAUAUUUUUAAAUUACAAGUGUCCUUUCAGUAAUAAGUUAAUCUGCAAAUUAAAAUAUUAAAUGCUUAAAACUCAGUUCAUGAAAAAUCAUAGUAAUAGAUUUUUUUUAACUUUUACAUUAAAGAAUUGUUUUUGUGACUUUUAGGUUUCAUAAAUAUUUAAGGCCCAUAUGGUGUAUAUGCAGUAUGUGUUUCUGAAUCACCACUAUUGGAAUUAACUUAUCAUCAUAGCACAUGCUGACAUUUCUAUAGUUUUGGGUACACACUGUGCCUGACUUUUCCCACCAAAGGGCAGCUGUUAAGAAGCAAUAGUAAACUACCUAGACACGUUCUAUACUAUAUCUAGACCAAAGAAAAUAAUUUGAAAACUAAAAACUGGUCUCUGGAAAAAAGAGACUAUCUCAUUUAAAUCCCUUUCUACAGGAGGCAGAACGGCAGCACAGACAAAACGUGGGCUUUUAAUGAUGAGAGGUGGACAUGGCUGAGGCCAGAUCUCUACAAAUGCCACCAGCUAAAUGCCAGGAGAGCAGAGAAUUCCUCCGGGGAUACAAAAAAAAAAAAAAAAA